This 497-nucleotide ribosomal RNA is filed under the name uncultured bacterium. Its description in RNAcentral is "partial 16S ribosomal RNA". It matches the Rfam family "Bacterial small subunit ribosomal RNA", at positions 28 to 507 of the family's 1533-position model. The record is from RNAcentral.
GAUGAACGCUGGCGGCGUGCCUAAUACAUGCAAGUCGAGCGAACGGACGAGAAGCUUGCUUCUCUGAUGUUAGCGGCGGACGGGUGAGUAACACGUGGAUAACCUACCUAUAAGACUGGGAUAACUUCGGGAAACCGUAGCUAAUACCGGAUAAUAUUUUGAACCGCAUGGUUCAAAAGUGAAAGACGGUCUUGCUGUCACUUAUACAUGGAUCCGCGCUGCAUUAGCUAGUUGGUAAGGUAACGGCUUACCAAGGCAACGAUGCAUAGCCGACCUGAGAGGGUGAUCGGCCACACUGGAACUGAGACACGGUCCAGACUCCUACGGGAGGCAGCAGUAGGGAAUCUUCCGCAAUGGGCGAAAGCCUGACGGAGCAACGCCGCGUGAGUGAUGAAGGUCUUCGGAUCGUAAAACUCUGUUAUUAGGGAAGAACAUAUGUGUAAGUAACUGUGCACAUCUUGACGGUACCUAAUCAGAAAGCCACGGCUAACUACGUG